RNAcentral lists this long non-coding RNA (724 nucleotides) under Homo sapiens (human). RNAcentral's name for it is "HSALNT0157972". The record is from RNAcentral. Lineage: Eukaryota; Metazoa; Chordata; Mammalia; Primates; Hominidae.
AAUCAGGUGCCUCUGGGGGACAGGUUGAAAGUCACACCAAGUCUGCUGGUUCUACACUAGCAGAGAUGAAGUUUGGGUUGACAGAUUCCCAGUGAGAAUGCCAGCAUCUGCUCUUCAACAUCCCAUGGCUGACCAGCUCCUUUACCUGCUAUAUUUUAAAUUUGGAAGCAAUUAAUUUGGAGGAGGAAAGAGUCUAAGUAAGAUGCCUAACAGAUCUUGGUGCGUUGACAACCUUGAAACUUGAUGUUAAUGGACAGGUACAAAGAUGAAGAUGAGCUGAACAGUCUUAGUGGUUGAAGCUGCUGCAUGUAAGAUAAGCAUGUUAAAUCCAUGCCAUGUAUACUGCAAAUCCCAAUCCUGUGCACAAAGCAGGCAUUGCUAAGAAGACCCUGCUGUAUUUAAAAAGCCUAGAUGCACUGAUAGAACCCUCAACACAGGACUCCAGCCAUGGACUACCAUUGGUUCAGAGCUGCCAGUCCAGUAGUAGCUUAUGCAUCACCUACGGUAGAGUGGAAACUCUCCUGCACACGCCAGUCACUCCAAGGGCACUUUAAUUAAAACCACACAAAAUUUUUGUAGAUAACAAUAAACUUGAUUAUGGAUAAAUCAUGAAAUCAAUAAAUAUAGAGUUCCUGGUACUCACCACCACCACCCCUUCUCUAAUUUUUUUUCAAAUUCAGGUAAUCUCUAUACCUUUUGCUUAAAAAAGAAAAGACAAGAAAAU